Molecule: ribosomal RNA, 433 nt
Filed under: uncultured bacterium
Lineage: Bacteria
Description: partial 16S ribosomal RNA
Rfam family: Bacterial small subunit ribosomal RNA
Source: RNAcentral
ACGCACGCUGGCGGCAGGCCUAACACAUGCCAGUCGAGCGGACCCUUCGGGGUUAGCGGCGGACGGGUGAGUAACGCGUGGGAAUAUGCCCUUCUCUACGGAAUAGUCCUGGGAAACUGGGGGUAAUACCGUAUACGCCCUUUGGGGGAAAGAUUUAUCGGGGAAGGAUUAGCCCGCGUUGGAUUAGGUAGUUGGUGGGGUAAUGGCCUACCAAGCCGACGAUCCAUAGCUGGUUUGAGAGGAUGAUCAGCCACACUGGGACUGAGACACGGCCCAGACUCCUACGGGAGGCAGCAGUGGGGAAUCUUAGACAAUGGGGGCAACCCUGAUCUAGCCAUGCCGCGUGAGUGAUGAAGGCCUUAGGGUUGUAAAGCUCUUUCAGCUGGGAAGAUAAUGACGGUACCAGCAGAAGAAGCCCCGGCUAACUCCGUGC